AUGACUACUUCUUAAGACCGACGAGUUAAUUUUUUCCAGUGCAUUAAUUUGCGCAGUUCUGUGAAUUUUGUGAUAAUUAUGGGCCAUUUAAACUUGAUCUUUGUAUUAUUAUGGCUACAACCAUUUUUAAUAAGGACAGAAACGAGUUAUAAUUCCAUGCUGAUAAAAGACUUGAAAAUUUCAAAAUGUUCAAGUAGAGAUUACCCUGUGACCGUAGCUAAUGUCACACUUGAAAUGGGUUCAAAAUCCAAAAUUAAGGUCACUGGGAGCCUGAGUUCCACAAUUGACCUUGUAGGCCCGAUUAAGGCGUCCUUAUGGAUAGAACGUGAUAUUUGGGGGGUGUGGAUACCAAUCCCUUGUGAGAAUGGUUUAGGGUCCUGUACUUAUAACAAUUUGUGUGAUUACGGAUUUCCGGUUGGCCAAACUUGCCCGGAAGUUUUCAUAAAGAAUAGUGUGCCAUGUAGAUGCCCGAUUGUCAAGGGGAAUUACACGAUUUUGCCGUCACUUGACGUUUCAGUGCUGCCAACGUCGCUUUUAUCAGGGACUUACAAAGGAAUUGUGAAAGUAACACAAAACGGACUGUUUCUCUCGUGUUACAACGUUUAUUUUGUCUUGUACGAUACAUUAGAUAACGAAGUGUAUUCAGUUACACAAGUAUAACACAUUUUUAUUUUUUAAUAAAAUCAGUUAUUUUUC
This is an RNA transcript of Tribolium castaneum (red flour beetle), 696 nucleotides long. RefSeq lists it as uncharacterized. The transcript is spliced from 3 exons. The record is from RefSeq and is a predicted model, not a curated record. Lineage: Eukaryota; Metazoa; Arthropoda; Insecta; Coleoptera; Tenebrionidae.